Molecule: unclassified non-coding RNA, 395 nt
Filed under: soil metagenome
Description: partial contains 5.8S ribosomal RNA, internal transcribed spacer 2, and large subunit ribosomal RNA
Rfam family: 5.8S ribosomal RNA (bases 1-120)
Source: RNAcentral
GAUGAAGAACGUAGCGAAAUGCGAUAAGUAGUGUGAAUUGCAGAAUUCAGUGAAUCAUCGAAUCUUUGAACGCACAUUGCGCCUCCUGGCAUUCCGGGAGGCAUGCCUGUUCGAGCGUCAUCAAACCCCAUCGUGCAAAUGAAUUAUUUUUUUUGCGCGGAAGUGACGAUUGAGCGAGAAUAACAAAUCCUCUCGCACCUCGUCGAAAUGAUUGCGGGCGGAAUUUGGGAUCGGGUUCCUCGGCGUAGUGUAUCAAUGCAUAUUUAUGCAACUUGCCGCGGAGUUGAGCCUGACCCACGCGUUCUCGCCGUACAAACACCUCAUUACUUUACAAGUUUUUGACCUCGGAUCAGGUAGGGAUACCCGCUGAACUUAAGCAUACAAUAAGCGGAGGA